RNAcentral lists this ribosomal RNA (568 nucleotides) under uncultured bacterium. Its description in RNAcentral is "partial 16S ribosomal RNA". It matches the Rfam family "Bacterial small subunit ribosomal RNA", at positions 355 to 1375 of the family's 1533-position model. The record is from RNAcentral.
UGGGGAAUAUUGCACAAUGGGCGAAAGCCUGAUGCAGCGACGCCGCGUGAGGGAUGACGGCCUUCGGGUUGUAAACCUCUUUCAGCAGGGAAGAAGCGAAAGUGACGGUACCUGCAGAAGAAGCGCCGGCUAACUACGUGCCAGCAGCCGCGGUAAUACGUAGGGCGCAAGCGUUGUCCGGAAUUAUUGGGCGUAAAGAGCUCGUAGGCGGUUAGUCGCGUCUGCUGUGAAAACUCGAGGCUCAACCUCGGGCUUGCAGUGGGUACGGGCUGACUAGAGUGCGGUAGGGGUGACUGGAAUUCCUGGUGUAGCGGUGGAAUGCGCAGAUAUCAGGAGGAACACCGAUGGCGAAGGCAGGUCACUGGGCCGCAACUGACGCUGAGGAGCGAAAGCAUGGGGAGCGAACAGGAUUAGAUACCCUGGUAGUCCAUGCCGUAAACGUUGGGCACUAGGUGUGGGGUCCAUUCCACGGAUUCCGUGCCGCAGCAAACGCAUUAAGUGCCCCGCCUGGGGAGUACGGCCGCAAGGCUAAAACUCAAAGGAAUUGACGGGGUCAUAGCUGUUUCCU